CAGGACUGCUCUUGGCAGCUAUGUUCUCCCUGGAUGGAGAGAAGGCCUGUGUGUCUAUGGGCAACUGUCUCCAGGAGAUGGAGAUGACAUCAGAAUAGCCGGAGCAGGUGUGAUCCAAGGUUCUGCAAGGAAAAGGAAGGAUGGUGUGGAGUGUGUUGCUGCAGGGAAGGCUUCCCAGUGGAGGUGGCUCCUGAGCUCUAGGAAAAGGGAAGUGAGUGUCCUUCCAGGCAGAGGGAACAGCAGGUGCAAAGGCCUGGGGGCUCGUCUAUAAGGCCCGCUGGAGUCACAAGCCCCAUCCCAGACUCUCCAACGCUGGACCUGCAGCGCCCAGCCCUGCCCUGGUGCUACCACCUGCCAGCUCUGUGCCUGCCCCUCCACUAGAUCAUGACUUCGGCUCCAGCUCCCUCACUCUCCAUGCCUCUCACUUGCGGGUUGUGCCCUGCUCAGCUGGCCAGACUUUGGCCCCCUCCCUACCUGGAUUUGUGAAGCCCCAAAUUUCAUCUCCCCCACCACACUUAUUCACAGCCUCCGCCUGCUGACAUACCCAGGCAAGACUCCCUUCCCCUCCAGGCAGCCAAACUUCAGUUCGAAUCUUCUGGCUCUUACCAGACCCCUGAUGAAUCCCAGGAUCUUCGCAGGUGGUCCCAGGGCCUCUUUGAACCACAGUUUUACUUAUCUGAAAAAUAAAAAGGCAUGAUUUAGAUGACUUCUGA
RNAcentral lists this long non-coding RNA (713 nucleotides) under Homo sapiens (human). Its description in RNAcentral is "HSALNT0361688". Lineage: Eukaryota; Metazoa; Chordata; Mammalia; Primates; Hominidae. The record is from RNAcentral.